Molecule: ribosomal RNA, 503 nt
Filed under: uncultured bacterium
Lineage: Bacteria
Description: bacterial SSU rRNA
Rfam family: Bacterial small subunit ribosomal RNA
Source: RNAcentral
UGGGGAAUAUUGCGCAAUGGAGGCAACUCUGAUGCAGCAACGCCGCGUGCGGGAAGACAGCCCUAGGGUUGUAAACCGCUUUCAGCAGGGAAGAAACUGACGGUACCUGCAGAAGAAGAUGCGGCCAACUACGUGCCAGCAGCCGCGGUGACACGUAGGCAUCAAGCGUUAUCCGGAUUUAUUGGGCGUAAAGAGCUCGUAGGCGGUUCGGUAAGUCGGGUGUGAAAACUCUGGGCUCAACCCAGAGAGGCCACUCGAUACUGCUGUGACUUGAGUACGGUAGGGGAGCGGGGAAUUCCUGGUGUAGCGGUGAAAUGCGCAGAUAUCAGGAGGAACACCAGUGGCGAAGGCGGCUCACUGGCUCGAUACUGACGCUGAGGUGCGAAAAGCGUGGGGAGCAAAACAGGAUUAGAUACCCUGGUAGUCCACGCCGUAAACGAUGAAUGUUAGCCGUCGGCAGUAUACUGUUCGGUGGCGCAGCUAACGCAUUAAACAUUCCGCCU